GUCGACCGCGUGGCUGGAAGACAUGGCCACUCCCGUCGGUGUUGAGCACGGCGAGCAGUCUCAGGCCUUUAGUGAUGAUGGUAAGGCUGCCUGAGUGGGAAAACGGGGUCUUCCUUGACACGACACUAACAUACUUGGCUUCCCUUCCUCAGAGACGAAGUGGUGACGAUAAUCUCGGUUUCUCCCUCAUAGGGUGGUUAGGAGGGUUAAAAGUACUGGAUGAGAAAAUGCUUUCCAAACGUUGAGAAAAUGUUACUAUGUGAAGGGAGAGAGCUCAAGCCUGUCCUCGGCGUCAUAGGGCCGGCUUCUGCGGGGGAGAGCGCCUAACAACCUGGGCAGCCCCGUGCGCCUCCGCCGCGCGUGUGCUGAGCGUGCAUGCCCAGGGGUCUUCGGUGCCCGCGCACGGGCAGACUCUGACGAUGGUGGUUCUUAAUUCAGCAUCAGGAGUGUUAACGUGUGAAGACGUGAUUCCGCUUGGAGUGCCUUGAGGACGGCCCCAAUCGGUAGUUCAUAUUUAGCUUUACAGAUAGGAGUCAAUAGGAUUGUAAACUUCUGGAAAGCCGUAGUUUUAACAACGAGCCUUUUUUCCUCCCCCAGAGGCCUUUCUUUGUUUGGCAUCUGCAGAGACGGUGAAAAGCAGAGCUCCAGGUUGAAGGAUCAGAGUAAUAGAUGGAGCCCUUAACAUGAGUAAGAGUGGGUGCAGGCAGGGCCUGAGUGGUCACUAGAAAUGAGAAAGCACAGUUGGUGCCAUCACAUACCUUCACCUCCUGCUUUAUUCUGAAGUUCAAGUAUGAGAAUACGUGUUGACAUACAAGCCAGCUAUGGUAAGAAGUUACUCAAAAUUCAGAAUGCUAAUUAUUUUAAUGAUAAAAAUGAGUAGGGUCUUUGCCCGUGUAAUUUGGGGCCACUAGGUGUCAUUGUAACCAACGUGGAUCCUCGUUAGGGCAUGCAGGGAUGAAAGAGACAUGGCAAAUGAAUUUUGGAUCGCUAGGAUUUAGGAAUCUUUGUUAUUGGCUGAGCUGAGGAUGAUUUAAAGUUAUCCCUGUCUGAAAUGGUAUCUUUUGUGAGGACUGACUUGCUGAGGCUCAGCUGUUUAAUACAAAUCUGGAGAAUAAACCUUAAUUAAGGUGGUUUCUGUUAGAAUGAAGCCUGUUAUCCUUCUCUUUUAGAUUAAAGGUGUUGGCUGUGGCCUUGAAAACAGUCAUGUGAAAACUCAUCACCUUAAGGUGUUAAGUGUAAGGAUCUUCAUGAUGAAAUUUCUGUAAAUGGUGCAGUCAGCCUCAGUUUCCAAAGCCAGAAAAGGAUCCUCUAGAAGCCACGGUGUGGCAGCUGCUCUGAACCAGGACCUGGACCCGGACCCAAAGUGCCAUGUCUUCAAUGUUAGCUCCCAGCGAUGCCAGAUGGGAUCAGCACAGCCCUGCCUCUGCUGCUAAUUGUUCCUCUAAAGUAAUCGCCAUGCGUUCUUCGGGCUUCACCUUUAAAGGAAUGAAGCAACUGAGAUUAUUCUGGAAAACCUUUUGGCGAUUGGUGAAAUUAGAGUACAACUAAGAACAUUUUCAGACCUCCACUGUGGAUGACCUGGGUAUAAUCUCACAAAUCGAUGGGACUGCAAGGAUUGUAAACUGAAAUGAACAUGAUUAUACUCUGUUGGAAGAGCCUAAGAGGAAACUGAUGCCAUGAGUUUCAGAGAGUAAUGCUUAACCCCAGUUACACAGGAUGCCGUCUUGUGUUUCCUCUUGUUUAGUUACCCACUACAGUGAUUUUGUGAUCUGCUAAUGGGUUGCCACCCACAACCAUUGCUUUAGCACUUUUCCUUCAAAUCAAUGAAGGAUUGAUAAAAGUUCUCCUGGUGUCUCCGCAGAGUGGCUUCCAGGAACAGAUCUUUGCAUAGAAUAUCAGUGGUUUCCUUUUUUGUUUCAAAUAGUGGUCAGAAAAUACCCAGUGUUGACUCACCAAGGCAAUCAGCUUCCUUUUUCCCUUUUUUUUUUUUUUUUUUUAAAUUUUAUAUUUUUGCUUUAUUUUAUUUUAUUUUGUUUAUUUUUUGAGACGGAGUUCCACUCUGUCGCCAGGCUGGAGUGAAGUGGUACAAUCUUGGCUCACUGCAACCUCCACCUCCCGGGUUCAAGCAAUUCUCCUGGCUCAGCCUCCUGAGUGCUGGGACUACAGGCACGUACCUUCUUUAGUAGAGACUGGGUUUCACCAUGUUGGCCAGGAUGGUCUCUAUCUCCUGACCUUGUGAUCUGCCUGCCUCAGCUUCCCAAAGUGCUGAGAUUACAGGCGUGAGCCAUCAGACCCAGCAUUUUUUUUUAAUUUUAAUUUUAAUUUUUUCAUUUUUUUGAGAGGUUUUUUGUUUUGUUUUGUUUUUGUUGUUGUUUUUGAGACAGUCUUGCUCUGUCACCCAGGCUGGGAGUGCAGUGGCAUGAUCUCUGCAACCUCUACCUCCCAGGUUCAAGCAAUUCUUGUGCCGCAGCCUCCCAAGUAACUGGGACUACAGGUGCACACUACCACACCUGGCUGAUUUUUUAUGUUUUAGUAGAGACAGGGUUUCAACCAUGUUGCCCAGGUUGGUCUCAAACUCCCGAGCUCAGGCAAUCCACCCGCCUUGGCCUCCCAAAGUGCUAGGAUUACAGGUGUGAGCCACCACACCCAUCUAUUUUUUCUUUCGUUUUUUAAUUUUAAAGUUGGGGGGGGUUUCAAUUUGUUACCCUGGCUGGUCUCGAACUCCUGGACUUAAGCGAUCCUCUGGCUCCAAGCCCACUACUAGUCUCAGGUUUCUUUACUAAAAGAUCACUACCUUUUUUUCUCUUAUCUGCUGCCAUGUGAGAUGUGGCUUUCACCUUCCGCCAUGAUUGUGAGGCCUUCCCAGCCACGUGGAACUGUAAGUCCAAUAAACCUCUUUUGUAAAAAAAAAAAAAAAAAAUCACUAUUUAAGAUACUAGGAUGGAUUGUGACUGUUGAGGAGUACUUACAUAUCCUACAUUUGACUACAUUCUUUCCAAACCAAGUAUUCUAUCCAAAGGAACAUACUGCUAUCAUAGAGACCAAGGAGGGACUGUUUAAGGUUGCCAAGGUGAAGCGAGCUGAGAGGCUUUGUCCUCGUGCCAGUAACUCUGAAAUCUCUCUUAAUUCCUGCUGUCCAGGCAGCAGAAUGCCAUGGUUUCCCCAAGUAGGUAGCUGCUUUAGCAAUUAAAGCCCAAAUGUCUGUUCUGUUGAUCAGAGGUCUCUGAAUUUCUGAAGUGGUGUUUCGUUUCUGGUGACUGAGUUAAUCCUUUACAAUCCCUCUUGUAAAGUGUGCUAAUAGAAAGAAUCCACCUUUCAAAGCUGCAGAACCAGACCGUUUCCUAAAUUGACCAACGUAACUGAUGUGCCUCGGGAAGUCUCUUGGCAGCUGUCCCUGUGAAGACCCCCCUCCUGCCCCCCCAGCUGCUGCCUUGCACACUGAAGCAUCUCAGACUGUGCAAAGCCAUGUAGUCAUCAAGACAGUAAAUCCCAGGGCUUGGUUAAGUGCUGUGUGAUAACUUGUUUGGAUGAGACUUAACUUAAAACCACUUACAAUAAACUUGGGAAACUACCGUCA
This 3577-nucleotide long non-coding RNA is filed under the name Pan troglodytes (chimpanzee). RNAcentral describes it as "lincRNA". The stretch from base 1015 to 1089 matches the Rfam family "Small nucleolar RNA R38". The record is from RNAcentral. Lineage: Eukaryota; Metazoa; Chordata; Mammalia; Primates; Hominidae.